GUAGGUGGCAAGCGUUGUCCGGAAUUAUUGGGCGUAAAGCGCGCGCAGGCGGUUCUUUAAGUCUGAUGUGAAAGCCCACGGCUCAACCGUGGAGGGUCAUUGGAAACUGGAGAACUUGAGUACAGAAGAGGAAAGCGGAAUUCCACGUGUAGCGGUGAAAUGCGUAGAGAUGUGGAGGAACACCAGUGGCGAAGGCGGCUUCCUGGUCUGUAACUGACGCUGAGGCGCGAAAGCGUGGGGAGCAAACAGGAUUAGAUACCCUGGUAGUCCACGCCGUAAACGAUGAGUGCUAAGUGUUAGGGGGUUUCCGCCCCCCUUAGUGCUGCAGCUAACGCAUUAAGCACUCCGCCCCGGGGAUACGGCCGCAAGGCUG
RNAcentral lists this ribosomal RNA (373 nucleotides) under uncultured organism. RNAcentral describes it as "partial 16S ribosomal RNA". It matches the Rfam family "Bacterial small subunit ribosomal RNA", at positions 527 to 896 of the family's 1533-position model. The record is from RNAcentral.